This 306-nucleotide unclassified non-coding RNA is filed under the name uncultured fungus. RNAcentral describes it as "partial contains small subunit ribosomal RNA, internal transcribed spacer 1, and 5.8S ribosomal RNA". The stretch from base 1 to 73 matches the Rfam family "Eukaryotic small subunit ribosomal RNA", at positions 1759 to 1831 of the family's 1831-position model. The record is from RNAcentral. Lineage: Eukaryota; Fungi.
ACAAACUUGGUCAUUUAGAGGAAGUAAAAGUCGUAACAAGGUUUCCGUAGGUGAACCUGCGGAAGGAUCAUUAGAGAACCGAAAGGCCCGGUGGGCUCUGUGCUGGCGCCCCGCGCACGUGCACGCCCCCGCCGCGGCCGUUCUUUCCUCACACCUGUGCACACGCCCGUCGGGCACGGCGCCGCCGCGCCGCCCGGCUCUUUUCACAUCAGCCCUGUAGAGUGUCGAAAGCGACUGCGCUUGCGCAACCUUUAUACAACUUUUAACAACGGAUCUCUUGGUUCUCGCAUCGAUGAAGAACGCAGC